UACGUAGGGUGCGGGCGUUGUCCGGAAUUAUUGGGCGUAAAGGGCUCGUAGGCGGUUUGUCGCGUCGGGAGUGAAAACCUCGGGCUUAACUCGGGGCUUGCUUUCGAUACGGGCAGACUGGAGGUAUGCAGGGGAGAACGGAAUUCCUGGUGUAGCGGUGAAAUGCGCAGAUAUCAGGAGGAACACCGGUGGCGAAGGCGGUUCUCUGGGCAUGACCUGACGCUGAGGAGCGAAAGUGUGGGGAGCGAACAGG
RNAcentral lists this ribosomal RNA (253 nucleotides) under uncultured bacterium. RNAcentral describes it as "partial 16S ribosomal RNA". It matches the Rfam family "Bacterial small subunit ribosomal RNA", at positions 524 to 776 of the family's 1533-position model. The record is from RNAcentral.